GGGAAAUCACAUUUUUCAUCAGUUUCAGAAUAAAACCCAGUGAUAGCUAUCAACUGCAGCUUACAUGCAUAGCUCCCAGCCCAAGGGCUAUGAAUAAGUACAAAAAAUAUUGAUUCAUGCAUUAAAAAAAUAAAAAAGGAAUAUUUCAAUGCCUGGACAAAAUAUAUGUACGUAACCAAAAAAGUAUAACUUGGUUGUUUAAUCAUGUAAAAUGAUGCAUUUCAAAUGUAAUUUGUAGCAAAAGGUAAGGGAGCUUUACCAAAACAUGAACUGGCUUAUCCUUUAAUGAAAACCUGUUCGCAAAAGACUUGAUCUCGGUGAUAGAUGAAAGAUCGCACAGCUGCAAGCUAAAAUUAAUUAGCAAUUUUAAGAGCAAAACACAAGGGGAAAAAGUUUGCAGCCAAAUACCAAAUUGGCAAUUACAAAAAUUUGAGAAUUUAAUGAAGCUCUGAUUCACAGAAGCAGUAUUAAAGAGAUACAUCAAAGAGUAAAUUAAGAAGGAAGAAGAAUACCUCCAGAUGAACAUUUUCAUUGCCUGUCUUAGAUCGAAUUGCAGAAAGAGCAGUUUCUCCUUUCUCUUUACUGCGACAAACCAUAUAGACAGUGGCCCCACUGAAGAGACAUUCAACAACAAAUGUCAGCUGCAAAAUAUUUUGUCUAAGAACAACCAGCAAUAUUUAUCAAGCACGCCAGCAUUGUUAACCUAAUGUAGUAAAGGACAGGGAAAUCACAUUUUUCAUCAGUUUCAGAAUAAAACCCAGUGAUAGCUAUCAACUGCAGCUUACAUGCAUAGCUCCCAGCCCAAGGGCUAUGAAUAAGUACAAAAAAUAUUGAUUCAUGCAUUAAAAAAAUAAAAAAGGAAUAUUUCAAUGCCUGGACAAAAUAUAUGUACGUAACCAAAAAAGUAUAACUUGGUUGUUUAAUCAUGUAAAAUGAUGCAUUUCAAAUGUAAUUUGUAGCAAAAGGUAAGGGAGCUUUACCAAAACAUGAACUGGCUUAUCCUUUAAUGAAAACCUGUUCGCAAAAGACUUGAUCUCGGUGAUAGAUGAAAGAUCGCACAGCUGCAAGCUAAAAUUAAUUAGCAAUUUUAAGAGCAAAACACAAGGGGAAAAAGUUUGCAGCCAAAUACCAAAUUGGCAAUUACAAAAAUUUGAGAAUUUAAUGAAGC
RNAcentral lists this long non-coding RNA (1168 nucleotides) under Citrus sinensis (sweet orange). Its description in RNAcentral is "long non-coding RNA (CSIN_LNC001499)". Lineage: Eukaryota; Viridiplantae; Streptophyta; Magnoliopsida; Sapindales; Rutaceae. The record is from RNAcentral.